GUGCCAUCUCUAACUGGAUGACGGCACACAUCAUUUCCCUUUAAUGUUGUAUGUUGUACAGCUGAAAAUGACGUGGUGGUAAAAUAUUUGCUUAUUUUCUCUCAUUUUUGAUUAGUUCAACUUUUUUUUUUUUUUUUUUUUUUUUUUUUGUGUGUGUGUGUGUGUUUGUGUGUGUGUGUGCACUCCAGUCAGUUGCACUAGUAGUUCUGUACUGUAAUCCUGAUUGAUACUACGUGUUGACUAGAAUAGAAGUUCUGAGAAAGUAUACAACAAAUAUAAGCAAGUUAUAUAUGCUCUUGAGACAGUCUAUGCUGUUCGAUUUUGGCUGAGAAUCUGGCCGUGAGCCACUGUACAGCUUUUGAGUUAUAUUACAAUUCUAUUUUAGACCCCUAGGAAAUAUACGGCAUAUUAUGUGUAUUAUCCAUUUGCAAGGUUACUAUUUUCCUUGAGCUGGCUGUUUGUGUCUGAUGUGAAGAUUUUUAAUCUUACAACAUCAGUGAAGAUGUGAGAAUUAUGUUCCCACUUUUCUAUUGUAUACUUUAGAAGUUACCAUCUGGAAGAGAAAGAAGCUGAAGUUCACGGACAAGUCCUUUACCAGACGUGAUGAGGGAGGGGGUGAGAAAAGUGGCUUGAAGUUAGUGUUCUGCUUCCAAAGCUGAAAGCCAAACCUACUCCUGUCAUGUCUUAGAACAGCCUGGGGGAUGCACUAAACAAUUCUGGCUUUGUGCCUGCUAAUGAUUCAUGUAAGCAUUCUUAUCACAAAGGGACUUCAGCAGAAGCCAAAGAUCAGACCUUAUUUGUGUAUCUGUGUGAGUGAUAGCAGAAGGGAACGAAGCAAUUCUUCAUCUUCUUUUUCUAUAGGAGAUUGUGACAUCUCUAGCUCUGGGCAACAGAUUCUGAGAAAGGAAGUAGGUGGAAUGGUACCAAGUGGCAAUGGAUCUUUGAUGUCCUGUUUGGAAAAUUAA
Molecule: long non-coding RNA, 965 nt
Filed under: Anas platyrhynchos platyrhynchos (common mallard)
Lineage: Eukaryota; Metazoa; Chordata; Aves; Anseriformes; Anatidae
Description: lncRNA (ENSAPLG00000019271.1)
Source: RNAcentral